Long non-coding RNA from Miniopterus natalensis, 256 nucleotides. RefSeq lists it as uncharacterized. The record is from RefSeq and is a predicted model, not a curated record. Lineage: Eukaryota; Metazoa; Chordata; Mammalia; Chiroptera; Miniopteridae.
CACCGAUCUGGGACGCGAGCCCGCCGCGGCUCGGUGGCAGGCUGCCAGACUGAGCUCUGCUCCUUUCUGCAGGAGGCACGAGCGGAUCACGAUAAAGGAACAAGUGAGGACAACAAUGAGAAUGCUGGCUUCCUGGUGUGGAAAUAAUGAGAAGAAACUGGCCUGCACCAAACAGCCAGGCCUCACCUACCGAGGAGAUGAAGUGUUGGGGUGCAUCUGAGCAGCUGUACUACAGAAUCACCUGUAAGGGAGUGGG